GUGGGGAAUAUUGGACAAUGGGCGAAAGCCUGAUCCAGCCAUGCCGCGUGUGUGAAGAAGGUCUUCGGAUUGUAAAGCACUUUAAGUUGGGAGGAAGGGCAGUAAGUUAAUACCUUGCUGUUUUGACGUUACCGACAGAAUAAGCACCGGCUAACUUCGUGCCAGCAGCCGCGGUAAUACGAAGGGUGCAAGCGUUAAUCGGAAUUACUGGGCGUAAAGCGCGCGUAGGUGGUUUUGUAAGUUGGAGUUGAAAUCCCCGGGCUCAACCUGGGAACUGCCUCCAAAACUGCAUGACUAUAGUACGGUAGAGGGUAGUGGAAUUUCCUGUGUAGCGGUGAAAUGCGUAGAUAUAGGAAGGAACACCAGUGGCGAAGGCGACUACCUGGACUGAUACUGACACUGAGGUGCGAAAGCGUGGGGAGCAAACAGGAUUAGAUACCCUAGUAGUCC
Molecule: ribosomal RNA, 450 nt
Filed under: uncultured bacterium
Lineage: Bacteria
Description: bacterial SSU rRNA
Rfam family: Bacterial small subunit ribosomal RNA
Source: RNAcentral